UAACACAGUAAAUCUAAUAUUGUUAAAUCCUCGGGAUUGUGGGUUGAGAACUUGUGCAAUUCUUCCUUAUAUUCUGAGCAUUAAUUGUAGAAUUUAUAUUCUCAUCUUUUCUUAGUUGUGAUAUCUAAAUAUUAACCAUGGAAUUUGUGCCCUCAUCCCUAUGAGUGAGAACCGAAAGGAUGAAGGUAGCAGGGGAUGGGAUUGGCGACAGGGGUUACGUGGCCAUUUUAGAGAGGAGGUGGGGG
This 245-nucleotide long non-coding RNA is filed under the name Elaeis guineensis (African oil palm). Its description in RNAcentral is "long non-coding RNA (EGUI_LNC048271)". The record is from RNAcentral. Lineage: Eukaryota; Viridiplantae; Streptophyta; Magnoliopsida; Arecales; Arecaceae.